RNAcentral lists this ribosomal RNA (498 nucleotides) under uncultured bacterium. RNAcentral describes it as "partial 16S ribosomal RNA". It matches the Rfam family "Bacterial small subunit ribosomal RNA", at positions 29 to 507 of the family's 1533-position model. The record is from RNAcentral.
AACGAACGCUGGCGGCGUGCCUAAUACAUGCAAGUCGAGCGGACGAAUCGAAAGCUUGCUUUUGAUUCGUUAGCGGCGGACGGGUGAGUAACACGUGGGCAACCUGCCCUGUAGACGGGGAUAACACCGAGAAAUCGGUGCUAAUACCGGAUAACACGAAAUGUCGCAUGACGUUUCGUUGAAAGACGGCGCAAGCUGUCGCUACAGGAUGGGCCCGCGGCGCAUUAGCUAGUUGGUGAGGUAACGGCUCACCAAGGCGACGAUGCGUAGCCGACCUGAGAGGGUGAUCGGCCACACUGGGACUGAGACACGGCCCAGACUCCUACGGGAGGCAGCAGUAGGGAAUCUUCCGCAAUGGACGAAAGUCUGACGGAGCAACGCCGCGUGAGCGAAGAAGGCCUUCGGGUCGUAAAGCUCUGUUGUUAGGGAAGAACAAGUAACGCAGUAACUGGCGUUACCGUGACGGUACCUAACGAGAAAGCCACGGCUAACUACGUG